GUGGGUGAUCUACCUCUGAGUGGGGGAUAACGUUCCGAAAGGAGCGCUAAUACCGCAUGACGUUCUGGGUUUGAAGACCUGGAAACCAAAGUCGGGGACCGCAAGGCCUGAUGCUUGGAGAGGAGCCCGCGCCUGAUUAGCUAGUUGGCGGGGUAAUGGCCCACCAAGGCGACGAUCAGUAGCCGGCCUGAGAGGGCGGACGGCCACACUGGGACUGAGACACGGCCCAGGCUCCUACGGGAGGCAGCAGUGGGGAAUUGUUCGCAAUGGGCGCAAGCCUGACGACGCAACGCCGCGUGGAGGAUGAAGGCCCUCGGGUCGUAAACUCCUGUUGAUCGGGAAGAAUGGGCUCCGGGUGAAUACUCCGGGGCAAUGACGGUACCGAUUGAGGAAGCCACGGCUAACUCUGUGCCAGCAGCCGCGGUAAUACAGAGGUGGCAA
Molecule: ribosomal RNA, 441 nt
Filed under: uncultured soil bacterium
Lineage: Bacteria
Description: bacterial SSU rRNA
Rfam family: Bacterial small subunit ribosomal RNA
Source: RNAcentral